GCCCUAGUAACGGCGAGUGAAGCGGCAACAGCUCAAAUUUGAAAUCUGGCCUCCUUUGGGGGUCCGAGUUGUAAUUUGCAGAGGGUGCUUUGGCGUUGUCGGCGGUCUAAGUUCCUUGGAACAGGACAUCACAGAGGGUGAGAAUCCCGUUUGUGGUCGCCAGCCUUCGCCGUGUAAAGCCCCUUCGACGAGUCGAGUUGUUUGGGAAUGCAGCUCUAAAUGGGAGGUAAAUUUCUUCUAAAGCUAAAUACCGGCCAGAGACCGAUAGCGCACAAGUAGAGUGAUCGAAAGAUGAAAAGCACUUUGGAAAGAGAGUCAAAUAGCACGUGAAAUUGUUGAAAGGGAAGCGCUUGCAGUCAGACUUGCCCGUAGUUGCUCAUCCGGACUUUUGCCCGGAGCACUCUUCUGCGGGCAGGCCAGCAUCAGUUUGGGCGGCUGGAUAAAGGCCUCUGUCAUGUAUCUCCCUUCGGGGUGACCUUAUAGGGGAGGCGUAAUGCAGUCAGCCCGGACUGAGGUCCGCGCUUUUGCUAGGAUGCUGGCGUAAUGGCUGUAAGCGGCCCGUCUUGAAACACGGACCAAGGAGUCUAACAUCUAUGCGAGUGUUUGGGUGUCAAGCCCGAGCGCGCAAUGAAAGUGAACGGAGGUGGGAACCCUCUUCUUGGGGGUGCACCAUCGACCGAUCCUGAUGUCUUCGGAUGGAUUUGAGUAAGAGCAUAGCUGUUGGGACCCGAAAGAUGGUGAACUAUGCUUGAAUAGGGUGAAGCCAGAGGAAACUCUGGUGGAGGCUCGCAGCGGUUCUGACGUGCAAAUCGAUCGUCAAAUUUGGGCAUAGGGGCG
Molecule: ribosomal RNA, 837 nt
Filed under: Pseudochaetosphaeronema pandanicola
Lineage: Eukaryota; Fungi; Ascomycota; Dothideomycetes; Pleosporales
Description: partial 28S large subunit ribosomal RNA
Rfam family: Eukaryotic large subunit ribosomal RNA
Source: RNAcentral